UUUAAUAUGGCAGAAUAAAUAGUGCAGUGGUGUUAAGUACCUCAAAUGAGAUUUUAUAAAACUCUAUUAAAA
RNAcentral lists this transfer RNA (72 nucleotides) under Pseudomyrmex concolor. RNAcentral's name for it is "tRNA-Leu". The record is from RNAcentral. Lineage: Eukaryota; Metazoa; Arthropoda; Insecta; Hymenoptera; Formicidae.